AAUGAACGCUGGCGGCAUGCCUAACACAUGCAAGUCGAACGAAGGCUUCGGCCUUAGUGGCGCACGGGUGCGUAACGCGUGGGAAUCUGCCCUCAGGUUCGGAAUAACAGCGAGAAAUUGCUGCUAAUACCGGAUGAUAUCGCGAGAUCAAAGAUUUAUCGCCUGAGGAUGAGCCCGCGUAGGAUUAGCUAGUUGGUGUGGUAAAGGCGCACCAAGGCGACGAUCCUUAGCUGGUCUGAGAGGAUGAUCAGCCACACUGGGACUGAGACACGGCCCAGACUCCUACGGGAGGCAGCAGUGGGGAAUAUUGGACAAUGGGCGAAAGCCUGAUCCAGCAAUGCCGCGUGAGUGAUGAAGGCCUUAGGGUUGUAAAGCUCUUUUACCCGGGAUGAUAAUGACAGUACCGGGAGAAUAAGCUCCGGCUAACUCCGUGCCAGCAGCCGCCGCCU
This 449-nucleotide ribosomal RNA is filed under the name uncultured bacterium. RNAcentral describes it as "partial 16S ribosomal RNA". It matches the Rfam family "Bacterial small subunit ribosomal RNA", at positions 29 to 523 of the family's 1533-position model. The record is from RNAcentral.